UAUGAUGGCGACCGGCGCACGGGUGAGUAACGCGUAUCCAACCUACCCAUUACUAGGGAAUAACCCAGCGAAAGUUGGCCUAAUGCCCUAUGUAGUCGUUUGAUCGCCUGAGAUUUCGACGAAAGAUUUAUCGGUAUUGGAUGGGGAUGCGUCUGAUUAGCUUGUUGGCGGGGUAAAGGCCCACCAAGGCAACGAUCAGUAGGGGUUCUGAGAGGAAGGUCCCCCACAUUGGAACUGAGACACGGUCCAAACUCCUACGGGAGGCAGCAGUGAGGAAUAUUGGUCAAUGGGCGAGAGCCUGAACCAGCCAAGUAGCGUGCAGGAUGACGGCCCUAUGGGUUGUAAACUGCUUUUAUAUGGGAAUAAAGUGAGGGACGUGUCCCUUAUUGCAUGUACCAUACGAAUAAGGACCGGCUAAUUCCGUGCCAGCAGCCGCGGUAAUACGGAAGGUCCAGGCGUUAUCCGGAUUUAUUGGGUUUAAAGGGAGCGUAGGCUGUUUGUUAAGCGUGUUGUGAAAUGUAGGAGCUCAACUUUUAGAUUGCAGCGCGAACUGGCAGACUUGAGUGCGCACAACGUAGGCGGAAUUCAUGGUGUAGCGGUGAAAUGCUUAGAUAUCAUGACGAACUCCGAUUGCGAAGGCAGCUUACGGGAGCGCAACUGACGCUAAAGCUCGAAGGUGCGGGUAUCGAACAGGAUU
RNAcentral lists this ribosomal RNA (697 nucleotides) under uncultured bacterium. RNAcentral describes it as "bacterial SSU rRNA". It matches the Rfam family "Bacterial small subunit ribosomal RNA", at positions 84 to 779 of the family's 1533-position model. The record is from RNAcentral.